RNAcentral lists this ribosomal RNA (404 nucleotides) under uncultured bacterium. RNAcentral's name for it is "bacterial SSU rRNA". It matches the Rfam family "Bacterial small subunit ribosomal RNA", at positions 29 to 478 of the family's 1533-position model. The record is from RNAcentral.
AACGAACGCUGGCGGCAGGCCUAACACAUGCAAGUCGAACGCACCGCAAGGUGAGUGGCGCACGGGUGAGUAACACGUGGGAAUGUACCCUUUGGUUCGGAAUAACGUUUGGAAACGAACGCUAAUACCGGAUGAGCCCUGUGGGGGAAAGAUUUAUCGCCAAAGGAGCAGCCCGCGUCUGAUUAGCUAGUUGGUGGGGUAAAGGCCUACCAAGGCGACGAUCAGUAGCUGGUCUGAGAGGAUGAUCAGCCACACUGGGACUGAGACACGGCCCAGACUCCUACGGGAGGCAGCAGUGGGGAAUAUUGGGACAAUGGGCGGAAGCCUGAUCCAGCCAUGCCGCGUGAGUGAUGAAGGCCUCGGUUGUAAGACGUACUUUCGUCACGCGACGAUGAUGACGGUAG